This 475-nucleotide ribosomal RNA is filed under the name Microbacterium sp. R1_3_cr. Its description in RNAcentral is "bacterial SSU rRNA". It matches the Rfam family "Bacterial small subunit ribosomal RNA", at positions 14 to 500 of the family's 1533-position model. Lineage: Bacteria; Bacillati; Actinomycetota; Actinomycetes; Micrococcales; Microbacteriaceae. The record is from RNAcentral.
UGAUCCUGGCUCAGGAUGAACGCUGGCGGCGUGCUUAACACAUGCAAGUCGAACGGUGAACACGGAGCUUGCUCUGUGGGAUCAGUGGCGAACGGGUGAGUAACACGUGAGCAACCUGCCCCUGACUCUGGGAUAAGCGCUGGAAACGGCGUCUAAUACUGGAUAUGUGACGUGACCGCAUGGUCUGCGUCUGGAAAGAAUUUCGGUUGGGGAUGGGCUCGCGGCCUAUCAGCUUGUUGGUGAGGUAAUGGCUCACCAAGGCGUCGACGGGUAGCCGGCCUGAGAGGGUGACCGGCCACACUGGGACUGAGACACGGCCCAGACUCCUACGGGAGGCAGCAGUGGGGAAUAUUGCACAAUGGGCGCAAGCCUGAUGCAGCAACGCCGCGUGAGGGACGACGGCCUUCGGGUUGUAAACCUCUUUUAGCAGGGAAGAAGCGAAAGUGACGGUACCUGCAGAAAAAGCGCCGGCUAA